Molecule: transfer RNA, 64 nt
Filed under: human gut metagenome
Also listed under: 1 other name
Rfam family: tRNA
About the family: Transfer RNA (tRNA) molecules are approximately 80 nucleotides in length. Their secondary structure includes four short double-helical elements and three loops (D, anti-codon, and T loops).
Source: RNAcentral
UCUGUGGCUCAGUUGGUAGAGCAACGCAUUCGUAAUGCGUGGGUCGUGGGUUCGAAUCCCAUCG